GAUGAACGCUGGCGGCGUGCCUAAUACAUGCAAGUCGAGCGAACGGACGAGAAGCUUGCUUCUCUGAUGUUAGCGGCGGACGGGUGAGUAACACGUGGAUAACCUACCUAUAAGACUGGGAUAACUUCGGGAAACCGGAGCUAAUACCGGAUAAUAUUUUGAACCGCAUGGUUCAAAAGUGAAAGACGGUCUUGCUGUCACUUAUAGAUGGAUCCGCGCUGCAUUAGCUAGUUGGUAAGGUAACGGCCUACCAAGGCAACGAUGCAUAGCCGACCUGAGAGGGUGAUCGGCCACACUGGAACUGAGACACGGUCCAGACUCCUACGGGAGGCAGCAGUAGGGAAUCUUCCGCAAUGGGCGAAAGACUGACGGAGCAACGCCGCGUGAGUGAUGAAGGUCUUCGGAUCGUAAAACUCUGUUAUUAGGGAAGAACAUAUGUGUAAGUAACUGUGCACAUCUUGACGGUACCUAAUCAGAAAGCCACGGCUAACUACGUG
RNAcentral lists this ribosomal RNA (497 nucleotides) under uncultured bacterium. Its description in RNAcentral is "partial 16S ribosomal RNA". It matches the Rfam family "Bacterial small subunit ribosomal RNA", at positions 28 to 507 of the family's 1533-position model. The record is from RNAcentral.